AUUGAAUCCAGGGCCUUGUGCAUACAAGGCAAGCACUCAACCAACUGAGCUAUAUCCCCAGCACCCAAAAUUUUUUUUGAUACAGGGUCUUGCUGUGUUGCUGAGGCUUAUCUUGAACUAGUGAUCCUCCUACCUCAGCCUACUUGGUACCUGGGAUUACAACCAUGCACCAGCUUAGUGGACAUUUUUGCCAAUAAAUGAUGCUACAUGAUAUGUUCAGAAUAUCAUCUGUAGUUGAAGGAAGAAUCUGAGGUCAUUAUAGGCCUCUCCGUUCUCCAGUGCCAUUAACUUAUGAUUUCAUAAAAUAUAGUAGGGUAAAACUAAACAAUCAAUUGACUUUUAUAGACUGGUUAAGAUUUUUGUCAAUGCCAAACCAAGGUAUAUAACAUAAUUUCUGACUAGAUCACUUGUGUUUUCCCCCACAUUUUUAUUUUUGAGUAAUUUCAAACCUAAAGAAAAGUUGUGAUUUUAGUAUAAUGAACUCCCUUAAAUCCUUCAACGCGUGUGUAUUAAGAAAUGCAUACCGGGCACAGUGGCACAAGCCUGUAAUCUCAGCAGUUCAGAAGGAAGAGGCAGGUGGAUCACAAGUUCAAAUCAGCCUCAGAAAUUAAGCAAGGUCCUAUGAAACUUAGAGAGAUCCUGUCUCAAAAUAAAAUAUAAAAAGGGCUGAGGGUGGGCGCUGGGGUAGAGCACUCACGUGUGAGGCUCUGGGUUCAAUCCUUGGCUCCACAUAAAAAUAAAUAAAUAAAAUGAAGGUAUUGUGUCCAACUACAGCUAAAAAAAGUAUUUUAAAAAAAAUGGGCGGGAGUUUGCUGGGGAUAUGGCACAGUGGUUGAGCUCCUCUGGGUUCAAUCCCUGAUACAAAAGAAAAAAAAAAAAAGAAAUGCAUGGUUUUGGUUUGAUUUAGUUUGGUUUUUCCUGGACCAAUUGAAAUUUAGUUGAAGACAUGUUUCUUUUCCCUUACUUCAUCAUGUGUUUCCUAAAGCUAAGCCUAUUGUUUUAUAUAACUGCAAUAGAACUACAUAUCACACACAGGUAAUUAAAUAGUAAUAGGAUUAUAUUCCAGUAUCACCAAUUGCCUCAAUUUUCAGCACUUCAGCAAAUAACUUUUGUUGUUGUUGCUGUUGUAGUUGGACACAAUACCUUUAUUAUAUUUAUUUAUUUUUAUGUGGUGCUAAGGAUCGAACAGGGCCUUGCACAUGCUAGGCAAGCACUCUACCACUGAGCCACAACCCCAGCCCAGCAAAUAACUUUUCUUGAUAGCCUUUUUAUAGAAUUUUUGGUAAAUAUAUUCAUGCUGUACACAUAAGUGACUAAAAAUGAAACAUGUUUUCUGGCUAAAAGAUCAUUUUUUGUGGGGUGGGGGUAUACUGAGGAUUGAACCCAGGGUCUUUACCACUAAGCUACAUCCCGAGCUCUUUUAUUUUUUUAUUUUGAGACAUGGUCUCACUAAGUUGCUUAGAGUCUCACUGAGUUGCUGGGGCUGACCUUGAAUUUGCAAUCCUCCUGUUUUAGCCUCCUGAGUUGCUGGGAUUACAGUCAUGCACCACCAUGCCUGACAAGACCUUUCAUUUCUUAGCUUCAGUAACUUUUGCCUCUAUUAUCAGUUGUGUUUAUUUAGGCAGACAAUACUUUUUUUCAUGUUUUUUUUUUUCUGCUUUAAAGAGAGACUGCCUCUGAAUGGACCAGUCUUCCUAAGGCACUAGGUUCACUGUAGUCUGAAUAACUCACUUCUACACAUCAGCCCCAUGGUUGAGCCUUUCAGAUAUUCUCAGUAUGUUUACAAGUUGGUGUAUAUCCUCUUUGGGGAUCAGUUAUAUGGGUAACCUAAAGUGUCUGAAGUCUUGUGUCCCACGUGCUACUACCACCAUCCUUGGGUCACAUAAUCUUCUCAGAGUAUUUUCUAUUGGCAGUGAAAUGGGGUAACUACCUGGGUACCCAUUUGAAAAGAUUCUAUUUAAAAAUUUGGCAUUUUGCACGCACGGCAUGUUGGCACACAUCUGGAAUUCCAGCAGCCUAGGAGGCCAAGGCAGGAGAAGCAUAAGUUCAGAGCCAGCCUCAGCAAUUUAGUGAGACCCUAGGCAACUAAUAAAACCCUGUCUCAGAGAAAUAAAAAAGGGCUGGGGAUGUGGCUCAGUGGUUAAGUGCCCCUGAGUUCAAAAUAAAUAACAAUUUGGCAUUUUAAACUGGACAAAUACCUGUGAUCCCAACUACUUGGGAGGCUGAGACAGGAGGCCAGCUUGGUGAACUUAGCAAGCCCCAUCUCAAAA
This 2270-nucleotide long non-coding RNA is filed under the name Marmota monax (woodchuck). Lineage: Eukaryota; Metazoa; Chordata; Mammalia; Rodentia; Sciuridae. The record is from RNAcentral.